This 492-nucleotide ribosomal RNA is filed under the name uncultured bacterium. Its description in RNAcentral is "bacterial SSU rRNA". It matches the Rfam family "Bacterial small subunit ribosomal RNA", at positions 501 to 992 of the family's 1533-position model. The record is from RNAcentral.
CUACGUGCCAGCAGCCGCGGUAAUACGUAGGGUGCGAGCGUUAAUCGGAAUUACUGGGCGUAAAGCGAGCGCAGACGGUUACUUAAGCAGGAUGUGAAAUCCCCGGGCUCAACCUGGGAACUGCAUUCGAAACUGGCAGGCUAGAGUCUUGUAGAGGGGGGUAGAAUUCCAGGUGUAGCGGUGAAAUGCGUAGAGAUCUGGAGGAAUACCGGUGGCGAAGGCGGCCCCCUGGACAAAGACUGACGCUCAGGUGCGAAAGCGUGGGGAGCAAACAGGAUUAGAUACCCUGGUAGUCCACGCCGUAAACGAUGUCGAUUUGGAGGUUGUGCCCUUGAGGCGUGGCUUCCGGAGCUAACGCGUUAAGUCGACCGCCUGGGGAGUACGGCCGCAAGGUUAAAACUCAAAUGAAUUGACGGGGGCCCGCACAAGCGGUGGAGCAUGUGGUUUAAUUCGAUGCAACGCGAAGAACCUUACCUACUCUUGACAUCCAGA